Molecule: small RNA, 213 nt
Filed under: Nakamurella multipartita DSM 44233
Lineage: Bacteria; Bacillati; Actinomycetota; Actinomycetes; Nakamurellales; Nakamurellaceae
Description: Actinobacteria sRNA Ms_IGR-5
Rfam family: Actinobacteria sRNA Ms_IGR-5
Source: Rfam by way of RNAcentral
ACACGAGGAAGGAGGUGGUCCUGAGUUGAGUAUUUCUCGGACACGUGAGGUGGCUGGCCGCUAGGCCGCACCGACCGAAAGGGCCCUCCAGUCCUCGUCGAGGAACUGCGGUCCAGCAAUUCACGGACAGUCACCCGACCCCCGGCGCCGCCGACCCCGUCCAAUCGGCCCCCCGCGAGCAUCGCGAGGGAAACGGCCCGGGGGUUGUCCGUG